Molecule: ribosomal RNA, 508 nt
Filed under: uncultured bacterium
Lineage: Bacteria
Description: partial 16S ribosomal RNA
Rfam family: Bacterial small subunit ribosomal RNA
Source: RNAcentral
GACGAACGCUGGCGGCGUGCCUAAUACAUGCAAGUCGAACGCUUCUUUCCCCCCGAGUGCUUGCACUCAAUUGGAAAGAGGAGUGGCGGACGGGUGAGUAACACGUGGGUAACCUACCCAUCAGAGGGGGAUAACACUUGGAAACAGGUGCUAAUACCGCAUAACAGUUUAUGCCGCAUGGCAUAAGAGUGAAAGGCGCUUUCGGGUGUCGUUGAUGGAUGGACCCGCGGUGCAUUAGCUAGUUGGUGAGGUAACGGCUCACCAAGGCCACGAUGCAUAGCCGAACUGAGAGGGUGAUCGGCCACACUGGGACUGAGACACGGCCCAGACUCCUACGGGAGGCAGCAGUAGGGAAUCUUCGGCAAUGGACGAAAGUCUGACCGAGCAACGCCGCGUGAGUGAAGAAGGUGUUCGGAUCGUAAAACUCUGUUGUUAGAGAAGAACAAGGACGUUAGUAACUGAACGUCGCCUGACGGUAUCUAACCAGAAAGCCACGGCUAACUACGUG